GAUGAACGCUGGCGGCGUGCCUAAUACAUGCAAGUCGAGCGAACGGACGAGAAGCUUGCUUCUCUGAUGUUAGCGGCGGACGGGUGAGUAACACGUGGAUAACCUACCCAUAAGACUGGGAUAACUUCGGGAAACCGGGGCUAAUACCGGAUAAUAUUUUGAACCGCAUGGUUCAAAAGUGAAAGACGGUCUUGCUGUCACUUAUGGAUGGAUCCGCGCUGCAUUAGCUAGUUGGUAAGGUAACGGCUUACCAAGGCAACGAUGCAUAGCCGACCUGAGAGGGUGAUCGGCCACACUGGAACUGAGACACGGUCCAGACUCCUACGGGAGGCAGCAGUAGGGAAUCUUCCGCAAUGGGCGAAAGCCUGACGGAGCAACGCCGCGUGAGUGAUGAAGGUCUUCGGAUCGUAAAACUCUGUUAUUAGGGAAGAACAUAUGUGUAAGUAACUGUGCACAUCUUGACUGUACCUAAUCAGAAAGCCACGGCUAACUACGUGCCAGCAGCCGCGGUAAUACGUAGGUGGCAAGCGUUAUCCGGAAUUAUUGGGCGUAAAGCGCGCGUAGGCGGUUUUUUAAGUCUGAUGUGAAAGCCCACGGCUCAACCGUGGAGGGUCAUUGGAAACUGGAAAACUUGAGUGCAGAAGAGGAAAGUGGAAUUCCAUGUGUAGCGGUGAAAUGCGCAGAGAUAUGGAGGAACACCAGUGGCGAAGGCGACUUUCUGGUCUGUAACUGACGCUGAUGUGCGAAAGCGUGGGGAUCAAACAGGAUUAGAUACCCUGGUAGUCCACGCCGUAAACGAUGAGUGCUAAGUGUUAGGGGGUUUCCGCCCCUUAGUGCUGCAGCUAACGCAUUAAGCACUCCGCCUGGGGAGUACGACCGCAAGGUUGAAACUCAAAGGAAUUGACGGGGACCCGCACAAGCGGUGGAGCAUGUGGUUUAAUUCGAAGCAACGCGAAGAACCUUACCAAAUCUUGACAUCCUUUGACAACUCUAGAGAUAGAGCCUUCCCCUUCGGGGGACAAAGUGACAGGUGGUGCAUGGUUGUCGUCAGCUCGUGUCGUGAGAUGUUGGGUUAAGUCCCGCAACGAGCGCAACCCUUAAGCUUAGUUGCCAUCAUUAAGUUGGGCACUCUAAGUUGACUGCCGGUGACAAACCGGAGGAAGGUGGGGAUGACGUCAAAUCAUCAUGCCCCUUAUGAUUUGGGCUACACACGUGCUACAAUGGACAAUACAAAGGGCAGCGAAACCGCGAGGUCAAGCAAAUCCCAUAAAGUUGUUCUCAGUUCGGAUUGUAGUCUGCAACUCGACUACAUGAAGCUGGAAUCGCUAGUAAUCGUAGAUCAGCAUGCUACGGUGAAUACGUUCCCGGGUCU
This 1372-nucleotide ribosomal RNA is filed under the name uncultured bacterium. RNAcentral describes it as "bacterial SSU rRNA". It matches the Rfam family "Bacterial small subunit ribosomal RNA", at positions 28 to 1381 of the family's 1533-position model. The record is from RNAcentral.